Molecule: long non-coding RNA, 801 nt
Filed under: Rattus norvegicus (Norway rat)
Lineage: Eukaryota; Metazoa; Chordata; Mammalia; Rodentia; Muridae
Description: long non-coding RNA NONRATT006353
Source: RNAcentral
GUGCAGAGGUGCCUGAGUCAGAGCUGGGCAUCAGAUCCAGAGCUGUUGUAACAGGAAGUUAGUUGUACGUCUCCCAGGAUGAGUGAUGGCCGUUAAACUCAGAUCCUCCGGAAAAGCAUCGAGGAACUCCCAACUGCUGACUCAUCUCUCCGUCUUGGCACUGGCUACCUGCUGCAGCCUCAUCACCUGUAGUUAACUUUAUGAAUAGUCACAGAAUGAGAGGUUGUGGGAAUUAAAAGUAUGAGUGCUUAGGACAAUAAAAUACAAGGAUCCUGGGUUCUAUCUAUAAAAAGUGCUCGAGAAUACUAUUGGACAAGUGUCAUAGCAGACGGGCGGUUUCUGGACCACUGUGCUGUAAGGUGGGGUGCUGUAAGGUGUGCCUGCCUGGGCCACCCUGUAUAUGGCUUAGAAAUGACAAGAGACAGGGAACCUAAGCUGUUAGUUACGUGUUUAAAACAGUGAUGUUUGACAUUACAUCAAAAUAAGGCUUAAACAUGAAAACUUUCAGGCCCUAUGUGGUGGUGCACACCUGUAAUCGCAGCACUGAGGAGGCAGAGGCAGGCGGAUCUCUGAGUUUGAUGCCAGCCUGGUCUACAGAGCAAGUUCCAGGACAGCCAGGGCUACACAGGAAACCCUCUCUCUGGAAACAGGACGAUGAUGAGGGGUGGUGUGGACUGUAAUGCUUAAUAUGACUGUGGCCAGCCUAGUCUACAGAGCAACUGCAUAGAAAAGCCUGGUCCCAAAAAACAAAAAAGUUAAAGAGCUGGAAUCAAAAAAAAAAAAAAAAAAAAAAAAAACCUU